RNAcentral lists this ribosomal RNA (284 nucleotides) under Escherichia coli. RNAcentral describes it as "partial 23S ribosomal RNA". It matches the Rfam family "Bacterial large subunit ribosomal RNA", at positions 1 to 285 of the family's 2925-position model. The record is from RNAcentral. Lineage: Bacteria; Pseudomonadati; Pseudomonadota; Gammaproteobacteria; Enterobacterales; Enterobacteriaceae.
GGUUAAGCGACUAAGCGUACACGGUGGAUGCCCUGGCAGUCAGAGGCGAUGAAGGACGUACUAAUCUGCGAUAAGCGUCGGUAAGGUGAUAUGAACCGUUAUAACCGGCGAUUUCCGAAUGGGGAAACCCAGUGUGAUUCGUCACACUAUCAUUAACUGAAUCCAUAGGUUAAUGAGGCGAACCGGGGGAACUGAAACAUCUAAGUACCCCGAGGAAAAGAAAUCAACCGAGAUUCCCCCAGUAGCGGCGAGCGAACGGGGAGCAGCCCAGAGCCUGAAUCAGU